CCAACUUGCGGCACCGCGUUGCGUGGCACAGAAUCAGUCGUCAGUUUGUCUUAAGCGGAUUUGGUCGACACGUGAGUGUGUGUGUAUGUGUGUGAGUCUAUGUGUACACUCGUCUCUCGUCAGUGACUUGUUCUUCCUUACGUACGUAUACGUAAUCGGAAUCGCUUACUCCAGCCAGGAGAAGUCGCUUUGGCAGCUUCAAAGCAAAGUUUUGGCCGCUUUGGCAUAGGUCACGUAUCGCACGUGCUGCUGCCCCAACUCACGACACAACAACAGACUCACGCCACUCACGAGCCGUUCUAUGCGUGUGUGUGUGCAUGUGUGUGUGAGUGCGGUUGACAUUCGAUUUACUUUCGUUGGCCAACAGAAAAAAAAGGCAUAGCAUACUUUUUGGCAGCUUCUCAAGCAGUGAGUGUGUGUGUUUGUUUGUGUGUGUGACUCGGUCGAUAUUUGCAUAAAUUAAAAACAAAAAAAUAUACUCAUACACUCACUCACAUUCACACGGCCACACUCACGAGUGUGUUUGGAGCUGGCUUUGGUCGCUUAAUGAGUUUUUAAUACGCUGCCACAUUUCCGCUUCCUCUGCUCUGUGCGUGCGUGUGUGUGUGUUUCGGUGUGUGCGGAGAACUAAAAGUCAUUGUCACUGGAUUUGUGCCUGACGCUUCUGCUAAUUUAUUGAGCCUGGUGGCUGGCCGAAUGAAAAGACUUUUGCAAACGUGGCUUCAAAAGUGCGACAAAACUAAUUCGAAGUGAAGUCCCGAACGUGAAUUCACCACAAAAACUUUUAUUUCUACUCCGAUUUACUCGUCAAAACAACUCGCAGGUGCUUUCUGGGAAUCGUUUAAGCCAAUCUCUAACGACACCCAAGAGUGCGUGUAUGCCAGGG
Drosophila nasuta is the source of this 886-nucleotide long non-coding RNA. RefSeq lists it as uncharacterized. The record is from RefSeq and is a predicted model, not a curated record. Lineage: Eukaryota; Metazoa; Arthropoda; Insecta; Diptera; Drosophilidae. The transcript has 4 exons.